Long non-coding RNA from Eublepharis macularius, 502 nucleotides. RefSeq lists it as uncharacterized. The transcript is spliced from 4 exons. Lineage: Eukaryota; Metazoa; Chordata; Lepidosauria; Squamata; Eublepharidae. The record is from RefSeq and is a predicted model, not a curated record.
CUCUAACCCAGCACUUUGCAACCAGCUUCCCUCAGGGAAGAUGUAAAGGACCGUGGGGGUCAGACAACAGUCCAUCGAACUGAAAAUAAGUAAGCAAGGCACAGUGCAUGAAAACCAACAUGUGGAAAACUUAAAAGAAUGGAUCUGUUUUUUAAAGAAAUGAUUUGGAUAAUGCUGGUUAAUAUCAAGGCAGAAAAGUUUCUCUUCAUACUUUCCAGUUUUAUAUGGUGAGGGUACGUGGAUGGUUGGAACACAGUUGUAACAUCAUUGACCGUCAAGAAAAAAAAACUGAAUAAAAAUCUUAAAGGAACAACUCGUCCCUACACAUCUAUAGAGAGAAAGAAAGAAUCUACAACAAACUCUCGGUCUGAUUUUUCACACAACCAUGAAAAGACUUUGUUAGUCGUCUGUUUAACUAUAUUUGUUAUGGACUGGGGAUGUUUGUAGGACUUUUAGAUAGUUAUUGUGUAGAAUUGUAUUUAUAUUGUAUUUAUAUGAAACA